CCCCUCCUACUCGUCCUCCGCCUCCUUCCUCCCCCACCCAGCCUUACACCGCCCAGCGCCCCGCCACCCGCGUAACAGGCGUCUGGGAAUCGCCGGCCGAGCCCCGCUCCCGCCCACUUAGGCUACGGUGCCGAAGCCCGAGCGGAGCCAAUCACGGACGUCGAUUGUUUGUGGCUCCUCCCGGAAAAAGCCGAUCGACCUGAGAAACCAAUUAGGAAGUGUCGCUGGAAAUCCACGCCCAAAAAGCGGAAAAUGCCGAAAAUAGCCGAACGAAAAGAAAAUACUCGGGUUUUGAGGGGAUGAAAUGAGACAGCACCUGUGAAAACGGUUUGGAUAUUUUGAAGGCCUGCACUCAUGUAGGAGCAUGGGUGAAGAUGAUUACUGGGAGACAGCAAGAAGGGAGUCUUUAACAGCAAAUUCAUUGCAAAUUCUCAAUGCUUCACUGCUCAAUAAAGAAGUUCCAUUGCACA
Molecule: long non-coding RNA, 470 nt
Filed under: Felis catus (domestic cat)
Lineage: Eukaryota; Metazoa; Chordata; Mammalia; Carnivora; Felidae
Description: lncRNA (ENSFCAG00000051228.1)
Source: RNAcentral